Molecule: ribosomal RNA, 478 nt
Filed under: uncultured bacterium
Lineage: Bacteria
Description: bacterial SSU rRNA
Rfam family: Bacterial small subunit ribosomal RNA
Source: RNAcentral
GGACGAACGCUGGCGGCGUGCUUAACACAUGCAAGUCGAACGGAAAGGCCUCAGCUUGCUGGGGUACUCGAGUGGCGAACGGGUGAGUAACACGUGGGUGAUCUGCCCUGCACUUCGGGAUAAGCCUGGGAAACUGGGUCUAAUACCGGAUAGGACCAUCGUUUAGUGUCGGUGGUGGAAAGUUUUUCGGUGCAGGAUGAGCUCGCGGCCUAUCAGCUUGUUGGUGGGGUAAUGGCCUACCAAGGCGUCGACGGGUAGCCGGCCUGAGAGGGUGGACGGCCACAUUGGGACUGAGACACGGCCCAGACUCCUACGGGAGGCAGCAGUGGGGAAUAUUGCACAAUGGGCGCAAGCCUGAAUGCAGCGACGCCGCGUGGGGGAUGACGGCCUUCGGGUUGUAAACUCCUUUCAACCAUGACGAAGCUUUUGUGACGGUAGUGGUAGAAGAAGCACCGGCUAACUACGUGCCAGCCGCCGC